This is a long non-coding RNA of Heterocephalus glaber (naked mole-rat), 1117 nucleotides long. The record is from Ensembl. Lineage: Eukaryota; Metazoa; Chordata; Mammalia; Rodentia; Bathyergidae.
CCAUGUUGGUUAGGUUCUCCAGAGAAACAAUAUAUAUACUUGUUUUUAGUUCCUUGCUUUAACUAAAUAACAAUAACAACAACAACAAUAAUGAUGAUUUAGUAAUAGCUAAGAUAAUUUCAAGAUUUCAAGGAGCAUCAUGAUCAAAGGAUUACCAACCACCAGGAUUUGCAACAUCCCUUUCCAGACCACCAGAGAGAUGCCUAGAAGACUCCAAUAAUCAAUCUCUUCCUAACCUGAGACCCCUCUUUUUUGCGCUUGCCUAGGGCUGAAAGAAACUUGAACCUUGUGCUAGGUUAAGAUGGUCUUUUGGGUGCUCAAGUCUGCCAUCCUUUGGGUUUGCUGGCUUACUGAAUAAAUCUGUUUCCUUGCUUCUACAACUUGCCCCGAUCCCUUGGUUUCCUUUUGAGUGGCAAGUAAACAGGUGUGGGUUCAGCAACAGUGUUCGUGACUGUUGUGUCCAGGCCCUCUGUGGAUUGGACGAUGCUGGCUCACACGGGGGAGGCCAUCUAUCUGUUUUACCCAGCCUACCAAUUCAAAUGUUCAUAUGUCCCAGAAACAACCUUACAGACACACCCGGAAAGAAUGUUUAACCAAAUACCUGUGGCCUAGUCAAGUGGACACAUAAAGUUUACCACACAGUAAUGGGAAAAAAUGGAAUUUUAUUAUGAAGAUGAUAGGAAAAUCAUGUUUCUGCUUAUUUGCAAAGAAACCUAGCAGUUUUUGCAGCUACCAUGGAAGAAUUCUGAUUUAUGUGUGCAGCAGAUGACUUUUAUAUCUUCACUUGUGGUGUCUCUGUCUCUAUUGCUGCUGUUGCCAGGGUGCCAUGUCCCCUGCUGCCAUCUUCCAUCUGGGGCCUCUCUGAUGUCAUCCGUCUGUCUCUGUGGGGCCCAGUCACAGCUCCCUGGAAAGACCUGUUCCAGUUUAGCUGCCAUGAAGUCAGAAUGUCACCAAAGGGGUCUGAAGAGGUCCCCCAAAGAGGGAAUGGGGACUUUAACUCAUCCCACCCACGGGAGGAGAGUAAAAUCGCAUGAAGUGUAAACUCUGAACUGACAUGACUGCAGCUGGAAGGCCCUGGAAGGUCUUUGGAUUCCUAUUAGACAUUCUCCACUUCAAG